This is a long non-coding RNA of Equus quagga, 9886 nucleotides long. RefSeq lists it as uncharacterized. The record is from RefSeq and is a predicted model, not a curated record. The transcript is spliced from 6 exons. NCBI's taxonomy places the organism in Eukaryota, Metazoa, Chordata, Mammalia, Perissodactyla, Equidae.
CUCCUUCCGUCCCUCCCUCCUUUCCCUUCUCUCUAUUUCUGCCCAGCCUCUGCCCUGCUCCCUGCAUUCCAGCUUCACUGAGCUGCUGUGGUCCCUGAAAGACAUGGUCCCUCAUCAUUCUCCCAUCUCCGAGGUCACCUGUCUGGGAUGCCCUUUCUCAUGCUCCCUCCUUCCUCCCUCUGUGCUGUGUCUUCUGAGACCGCCCUCAGAGGCCACCUCUCCGCAUCCCUCCCUGGCCUGGAGGACAUGUGCAUCCCUUCUCUGUGGCCACAUUACCACACAAAGACAGGGUUCUCUGCCCGAUGCCCGUAAAGAGCCAAUGAUCACACCACCAGCUUUUUCGAGGUCGGCCAGCCAGGAGGCGGGAGUCAGAGCUCUCAGAGGAUACGGUGUGGACACUAGUUCAUACCUCCAGCUUCUCCUAGCGCCGUGCCCAGGCUGGCAGACACAGUGGACACUUGCCACCCAACUGACACGCCGAGGGUCGGAUGUGCCGCAUUCGCAGGGUCCGCCUGCCCCGCCUGCAGUGGGUCCUGUGCUUUGGGCUCUGGCCCCCGUGGGAGCAGCUGCAGUGGACGCCAGGGGGACACCAGGCUGGUCGUCAUCAGUCACAGAGACCACUCUCUGUCCAGAAGUAGGAGUGUGUGACACCUCUAUCCUCGUCACACCUAUGGCUGACCUCGACUGGUAACCACAGUCUGCGGCGCUCACAUUCCCAGGAGACAGCCCAGCGGUCCCAUCCUGGUUUGUCAGGAUUGCCCACCACGCGCACGCUUCUGCUGUGUCCAGGUCCCGAUUCUGGCACAGGACGCACCACAGUGCUGCCACGUUCCUCCUCCUCUGGUCCCAGGCUUGGUGCUGGCCACCUCACAGCAGCAUGUCUGUCAUGGCCUCCAGCUCAGCUAUGCUGGCUCGUGUUGUAUCACAGCUCUGCCCGAUCUUACAUACUUAUUCUAAAUCUCUCCUCCAAAUCAGGAGAGUACCUCGAAUACGGAGGGGUCUCCAAUGGUUUGAGAGUCAGAGUUGCUUUGGAAACUAGACGCAGGCCCACCCGAGAGGCUCCAGUCCUGGAGUCCCCACAUGCCAUCCCGUGUUCAGAGAUGCGGGCACUAAAGGCCUGAUGGGAGGGAGUGGCUGCCGUCCCUAGAUGUCCACCUGCACUGCCCUCUCCCUGCUGGAGGGAGUGCCUUAGGGCAGAUGCUGUGACAAAGGUCAAAGUGACCUCUGCGUGUGAUGUCUGCCACUGGUGGCCCCAGUUGCGUAACUAAAAAGAGAACCCCAAGGAAGGGAGGGAGUCGCCCCAGGAUGAGGUGCCUGGUAGCUGCUCCUCUGGGAUGGCCCGUGGGCAAGGGACUCCCUGCGUGGCGGGUGUGGGGUUCCUGCCAAGUCACCGCCCAUAAAGCGUUAAUGAGGCGUUUGAGAUGAGGCCCCUAGUCUGGGGGUCUCCCCUUACUGGAGCCCCCUGAUCUGAAACUCCAAUGGGCCCUCCGGGGUCAGCACCCUGUGGCCCCUUGCGUGGCACUCCAGGUGUCUCUGUGCGCACUCGCCUCUGUGCUCUCCUGACCCCUGACCUCUGGACCGCGAAUGUGCAGGGAUGAACAUGGUGCGAGCCCAGAGCAUGGAGCAGCUGUGAGGGGACAGACCUGCAGGCCUGAUUGCCGAGCCUGGCAGGGCCAGCAGAGGGUCAAGAGCAGGCAGAGCCGAGCUGAGCCCUGACCCAGAAGGGAGAGGGGGGUCCCACUCCAGCAUGAGGGACCCCAUCCGCCCAGGGCGUGGCUGCUCCAGCCCUCCCUGCAGUUCAUUCUUUUAUCAGCAAACGUCCCUGCAAGGGGCUUUGGGGAGAGCUGCUCUCUGGUUCCUGGGAGGUGCUCCCUCCGGGCACCCCUGGGUCCUGGCGUGGCCCCGAGAGGCUCAGAAUCACCCAGCGUUGUGGGGCUGGAGUCUGGAGCUCAGCCUCUCCCUCAGGCCUCCCUCAGGGGUCCUCUUGCCUCAGCUCACUUGAGAAGGCCAGUCCCUCCAGGUCUCCCAGGGCCUCCAGUGGUGUCAGAGCCUGACACUGGCCAGAAACCCCUCCCACAAGAGACGCCAGGUGAGCGUCAACUCCAGCUGCCGGGAACACCAGCCGGGCUCCGUCCUCUGCACCCUGUGAGUGGGGGUCUGCCUGGGGCUGCAGGCCCAGUGCGGGGCAGUGUCCGGCCUGAGAUGGGCAGACAGGAGGGCCACCCCGGCCCGCAGAGCAGCAGCUGUCUGCCCUCGCCUCGUUGCCUCUCAUGCAGGUGGCUUCACCCACACGUUGCACCGUGUGUACAGGGAGACAGUGGCACUCUCCCGUGUUCACACACCACUCCUUCAGAAGCAGCACGUGCCCUUGAGCCUGACUCCGUCCCCAGGAGCCCGUGGAGGCACAGCAGGGCCUCUGGCCACCGCAGCAGGAGGAGCUGCAGCCUCUCUGUCAGCUGGUGGUGUGUCUCAGGGAAGCAGUGCAGAUGGGGUCUCUGGACCUGCUGGGGGCCUGGAGUGGUUUCUGAACCCCAGGGAUGGUGAGAAGUGAGGUAGGAGGCCGGUGGAGGGAGGAACAGAGAUCCCAGGCUGGCAUUCGCAUCAGUGACCAGCCCUGCAGGCAGCUGUGGUCGAGGGCGCGCGUCUGACUGGAGCAGGUGCAGGGGUGAAGUUCUCUCAGGCAGACAAGCAUUCAGUCACGUUUUCACAGGUGUAUUUAACACGUCGGCACCGCUGCUAAUGGCAGCAGCUCCCUAGCCAGCCAGGGGACCCACCCGGAUGAUCCCCUCCCCCAUGGGCCCAGUGGGCAUCCUGCUGGAGAACUGGGGCCAGCAGGCUCCUGGGGUCCCCAGUGCCCCUGCCCAUCGGCCCGGAGAAAGGAGGGCUGGAGAGGGCGGGUUCCUGGCCUCUGCUGGCUGGGCCUGUUAGAAUUCAAGGGUGGGCCGUUUUCUGUGUUUCAGGCUCCAGGACACUUAGGGUCAUCAACUUUGUUAAAUUUCUAAUCAGAAAAGUUCUGACUCUAGCACGACGGUGUUUCCCUUUCAUACAGGAUCAUGAGCCUCCCAGGUGAUGGUGAAAAUUAUAAAAUUUUAUUUAAAAUACAUUUAUUCCUUCAUUAUGAAAGUAACAGAUAGAAGGAACACAUUUCUGAAGCCAACAUGGUCUGUUAGUUAAUUAAAAAGUUAGUUAGUUUAAAAUGGUGAAAGUGAUAAUAAAAAAUAAGGAAGCAGACAUACUUUGCAUAUAUUUUUAACUUAAAACUUAUAAAUAUGCAUUAAUUCUUAAUAAGUUCAUGAGAUUUACUUUUCAUACAAUGAAAUCUUCAGAUUCUGACUGUACGUGCUGAUAAAUUCUGAUAAAGGUGCACAAUCAAUGGAGAUGCAUCAAGUUUCCAUCACGCUAGAAAGGCCCCUCUCCCCUCUGGUCAAUAUCCCACCCGGGGCCGCCUCACGCCCAGAGUGACCUCACAACCAGGGCCACCGCACACCCAGGGCCACCCUCUGCUUCCUCUGUCAUCGUUUGGGCAGCUCUGGCCUUGACUCUGUAUUUUCAUGUAGGGUGGAGACUAGUCAGCCGGUCAGGGCUGGAGUCUUAUUUUCAUUUUUGGUAUAAACCACGUGCUUACUUGAUCCCCUAAGAUACCUGCUUUUGGUACUUUUUUUUAAGUACCAGGACUGAGACUUGAAUAUGUUUGUAAAGUCACCUGAGACCAGAAAUCUUCCAAAUUUUCACAAGUUGUUUUUCGUAUUUUGAGGUAUCUUGUCUGCAGCUAAUUCAAAAGCAAUUUUUAAAGUGACUUCACUUGCCUUUGUCUUGAUUUCCCAAACUGUGUAUUGUAGAAACGACUUUCUCUCCUUUUACACGAUGCGUAGCUGGUUUAUGUAACGUUUGGUCAAGUUACGCAGUAGAGCAAGGGCAAGUGGCGUAGAUGGGUGGGCGCGACCUGACCACGUGGUUGGUGUCACCCCCACUGACACCUGCGUCUUACCGGGCUGCUGAGCCCCGAGACCAGAGCCGCCUGAGCUGGUGGAGCAGAGGUUGGUGCACACAAAUGAAUAACAACAGAUGGGAACACACACACGUGGUCCUACACCCCGAGGCAUCUCUGCACAAAGCCUGCCGUGUGGUUUCCCAGCCUCAUGUGUGUGUGUGUGUGUACGGUUAGCCUCGCUGCAGGGCCCGAGGGAGCUGCCUGCGCCCCCAAAACUGCCUUCGCUCUGACAGUGACCACACGGAAUGAGGUUCUCUGCCCGGUGCACAUAAACAGCCGCUAGCCGGGCAUCAGCCUUUGCGAAGAGACCAGCUUUAUUCUGCGAGGCUGACCUGCAGGGAGGCAGGGGGCCCUCAUCUGUCUCCCCAGUGCAGGAUUUGGGGUGAAAUUUAGGGGGCCUAGAGAACAUUUAGGCACGCGCAAACUCUGGGGGGACGGGUUUCCAUUGCUGGGCUUCAAGCAUUUAUGACGGGGUUCUAACUGUUUACGACGGGGCUCUAAACAUUCUCCGUGAAUUUUAACACUGGAUCUUCCUGAACCAGGGCCCUCGCUUCUGAUGAGAGCCCGACCUUCAAUCUCCAGUCGCAUUCUGUCCUUGGGUUCAGUGGGAAGGGGGAUCUUCGGUUCCACGGUCAUUUCAAGUCAAGAUUUCCUCUUCUGCGUGUGCUCUGGCCACGUGACUUGGCACGUUUCCUGUUUCCUGAAAGGCGAUUCUCAACCACUCUUGAUAAGAGAUAGCUCAGUUGACCUGGUGCUGGCAGGCCUGCGGUUACACCGCCAGCCGCAGGCUCGGGGUCCCCAAGGCGAUGCUUGGUGUGACAGCUCUCUGGAAGGGCCUGGAGCUCGCUGAGAGCUGAACCACGCAUGGCCGUGGUUCGUCACAGGGAAGGGACACAGAUGAAAACCGGCCCAGGAGAGGCUCCCGGGCAGAGUCCGAGUCCCCAGAUGCAGAGCACCCCCCUUCUUCCCAGCUCACCCCACAGACACCUUCCUGGAACGGAACUCGGAUAGCGGCAUGUGGGUGUGGUUCCAGAUGCAGACUCUGAGAUGAGGAUUUGUAUGAAGGACACGCUCCCCGGAAACGUGGCUGGGAGUGGGGAGUGGACGGGGAUGGGGAGGAGGUGCAUGCAGGCCUGUGGAGGGACAAGGGCUCCAUCCCGUGGAGGAACUCCGGACUCUGCAGGUCAUGGCUCGCAGGUGUCCCCGUCUGGAGGUGAGUGGCUUUGAGUGUUUGUGCCCCUGCCUGGCAGUCACCUGUUAAGGGUUGUAAAUCGCGACAACCCCAGCCCUCAGGAGCUCAGGGAAGGACCCUCCUGUGGCCGGAGGGCGGCCCUCUGUCAAAGAUCCCGAUGAUGCCCCAUGGGAGUGGGGUCCUAGAGCCCAGGGGUGUGACAUAGAAGAUGGAGACCUGGACGCGCAUCUGUGGCCGUUAUCAUCAGAGACCCCGCAUCCAGAGGGGCUAAUGGUUUUCUCCUCAGACAAGUGAGGGCUCCUGGUGUGACUGUCCGACCUCACGUGCCGGUGGGGUCAGCACCCGGCCCAGAAGCAGCAGCUCAGCAGCCACCUGCCGUCACCCCCGCCCCGACUGUGGUCACAGUGUCCCCACACCUGGGCAGAGAUGGGGCAGUGUUUUCUCUCCUUCAGAUGCCGCCCAGGCCCAGACUUUGCCCCAGAGCCUGGGGGCCGUGACAAGAUCACCACGGACUGCAGGACUGCCUGCUGUCUGCUCCAUCCCACACAGACUGUUCCCCCGUCCUCCCUCCUGUCUGGUUUGAGAUGCCAGCCUCCGUCAUCCUGACCCCAGUGGUCACAGCCCCGGCUUUGGGCAAAGGCCAGUGGCUGUUUGGAGGGGUCUGGGCCAGCGGGAAGGGACCAGCAAGAAGGCAGCACGUUCCGACUGUUCCCCAUCUUCUGACUUGUCCUCUAGCAAAGGGGGUGGAAUGUGUGACCCCGGAAAUGCCACUUGGGCGAGAUUGUUUGAGCUGAAGACCCUGGAAAAACAGCAGGUGCCAGAAGAGUGUUCUGAGCCCCCUUCCUUCCUGAGGGCAGGAGGUGUCUCUGUUACUUUCCUCAAUCUCCUCUCCUCCUUGGACCCAGCGAAAAGCAUUUGGUUUUGCCGCUUCCCUGGGUCUCUAUCACCCUCACGAGGCCCCCGUGUCACUAAAACUUACGCUACGUGAACCUGGAUGCUUUCCUCCAGCUGCUGUCUCAGCAGCUCAACUCUCAGGCCGCCGGGCCCCACGAGGUGGAGGUGACGAUUUCCCUCCCCAACGCUGGGCUCUGCACACGACCAGAGCGGGGCCUGUCUGUCCCGCCUUCCACUGUCCCAGCUGGGGCUCGGAGUGCACCAUCAGUGUCCGUGGUGUCCGUCCCGGGCCCCGUGUCAACCCAACCCCGGGGGCCUGCACGUCUUCCCGUCUCCUCCUCGUGACCCCGUUCUUCUCAUUUGUGUCAUUCAGUCCACGGUUCGGCUUCUCAACACCCAUGUUUGUGGGUCCCUGAGUGUGGCCUUCACCUCAGAAUGGGACCCAAAGGAGAAAACAGGAAGGAUUUGUAAGUCUAACCUCACUUAAAAAUAGUGCAUGAGUGACAAGCAGAUCACAGAGCUAUGACGAUGGGGCCAUCUGUUUGACAGUUACGUAAGAAGUCCAGUACCUCAAUGAGUAAAGAGCUUUAAGAGACGAACAACAAAACGGACCACAGGGCCUGGGCGUGAGCGUCACAAGGGAGGAAAAGACAAAUCGAAACACGUUCCUCUUCUCCCAUCAGAGGGCAGAGCUGCAGGGCCUCACCACCCUGUUGGCAGGAGAACCUGAAGGGGUGCGAACGGGCCUCCCAUCUGCCCUGAGGUCGAGGCCGUCGCCUGCGUGGAUCCAGGCCUUGUCCUGCAGAGUCACUCGGAGAAAUACCAACCUCGUCCAAGAUAAGAGGACAGCGCCUCUCGUCCGGCUGUGGCCUCCCAGCCGCGGGGGCUCCGUUCCUGAGCUUCUGGUGUCUCCUCUCUGUGUGCCCCCUGCGGGGCUCCAUCCCUGUCUUCUUGUCUGUCUGUCCAUCUGUCCUGCAGGCAGAGAGGCUGCCCUCACUCCCCCUUCUCCUGGCUCCUCAGUGGGCUCAGGGUCUGGCUUGUCUGUCCUGUGGGUUUGGCUUCUCCAGCCUCUUCCCGUUCUCUAGCCACCCUGACCUGGUUCCUCAGGAGACAAGGCCGGGGCGAGCGGUGGGGCCGGGGUCAGAGGGGUGGUGGGACCGAGGGCAUCUGUGCAAAAUCAACAUGUUGAAACGUCUAACUGCAUGUGUUCGCUUUAUGUUUUUCCUCUCACCCUCAUUUCAAGUCUGUGGUUUUCGUAAUUCUGUGGUUCAAGGCUCGGACGUCUUGUAAAUCAGAAUUCCCCUGAGGUUAACGGGUACCAGACUCAUGAAAGGAAAACCUGGCGGGGGUCGUGCAGGGAGAGCCUUGGAGAAGCUCUGACCUAAAGAUGCAUCCAGAGACCGUUUCUCACCAGCUCUGGAUCGUUCCAGCUUUGCCAUUGGGAGCCCUGUCAGAUGCCUGAUAUUUACUGCGUGAUGUCCUCGGGGCCACCCUGCUUCCCGAUGUCCCCUGGGCAGGCGAGAUGUGGGGUCGGUGUCCCCUGGGAAGAGGGAGUCAUCGGAUCCUGGCCCCUGGAGGGGGUUAUUGCACAGAGCCAAAAUCAAAAGACAAACACAGUGAUAGCAAUGGCGCUAACAGUUUCCGUCUACUGAGUAUCAGGUGCCCUGAGCACUCGGGCACAUUUCUUACUAAACCUCACUUUACAUAAACCCACGGUCUCAGUUCCCUCAUCCUGGUUCUGCACAAGAGGGAACCGCGUCUGGGGCUGCAGGGCCUCAGCUCGGUUCAUCUGCCUGAAGGUGGGGGCUUCCUCCGUGGUGGUGGUUUCCACUGGGACCCGCGUCACCAUCACCGACAGCAGCACUGACUGUGCCCCAGGUCCCUUAACAUGCACCCCACCCCAGGGGCUCGGGCAGCUGGUGAAGACAGCUUUCUGUGCUCACACUGGCACACGCUGCUGCCCGCUUCCUCGUGGACCUCGGAGCUAAAAAUAACCACGUGUUUUCUGUUUUAAUGGAAAAGAGGAAGUGUGCCAUUUAUUGCAUAACACUUACUAUUUUUGAAAACCCGAAUUUUUUCCACAUGUACUUUUAAAAAGUCCUUGGAGGAAAAGGCACAAUGUGGAUUUCACGGAGGGUUGCUCUCUUUGUAACCCAGAUCCUCAGGAAACAACUGAAUCAGACAUGAGGCGGAGAUGGCAACCUUCCCCAGUGCGCACGGCCCAGGGGGACCGGCAGGAAGCCCCAGACGCAUAUCACUGGGGACACAGGGCGGAGCCAGCUCCCAAGGGGCCCUGGGGCUUCUUGACCCAGGUCAUGGGGAGAGGGAUUUUCCCAGGUCUCCAUGCCCGUUGCCUGAGCAGGGGGAGGUGUCCCAGGGCCACGGCUGACCGUAGGAGCCCGUCCUCUGUGGUUGAGAGGCUACAGUCACUCUCAGCCUUCGCAGGAUGUGGGAAGAUGGAGCUUGGCCUUCAUUUGCUCCUUAAGUGAGCGAACGCCAUUGAGACACGGUAGGGGGGCCCUUGGAUCUUUUUAAGGCUGCGCUGUGAGAGAUGACCUGGGCUGGUGGCAUUCAGUGCUGUCCCUGCCCUUCCUCUCACUGAAACACUGGAAAGUUAGAAAAUGUGUAAAGAGCAGACAAACAAAGCCAAAGGAAAGAGACACAGAUGCCACAGCACAGGGCGCUGGGGCAAGGGUGAGUAACCGUGGGACCACACGGGCGUUUCUGGCAAGUGUGUGGGGCACGGGAGCGGGCGGGACGAGGACCAGGACUCCUGCCCGCCAAGUGACCUCAGGCAGGGCUGCCCGAGAGCCUCCAGGAGUCUUUCCCCAGGGCGCCGUGGUGGCCCUUCCUAUCAGGACGUCUCCUGCCAGACCCAACCGGACGUGCAGCACGGCAGGCGAGCAAAGGUCCUGGGACAUUGAGAGAGCGGCGGGAAAUCAGUGGUAGGAUGAGCACGUCUCAUGUGGAAAGUCAGCAGUAACUUGGAACAUGUCAUAGGGACCAUCUGAGACCCCAUCUCAACAGUAACCAGCAGGGAGUAAACCUACCCGGAAAGGCAGAGGCCUGACAUGGAGAAGCUCACGAAGGAGACACGUCACCUGGAGGCAACGACGGAACAGAGAGAGAACUCUCAGGUUUAAAGACUGAGCGUAAGUCAGAGCAAAGUCACGUGCGGCUCUUAAACCUGCCGAUGUGACGCAGAGCUUGUCUGGAAGCGUAAGUGAACGCAAAGAACCACAGCUUUUGAGAGAAGACUAUCGAGGACCGAGGUUCUGCACCAGAUGGUCAACCACAGCGUGAAGCUAAAACCCUGCGAAGAUCUGGUGCAGCCGCGAGAAUCGUCAUCUGUGUCAGCAGAGGAGCACAGACCACUGCGAAAGAAUCAGAAUUUAAGAAAUAAUGGCAUGUGUUCAUGUAAUAGUUUACUAAGUGCCAAUAGCAUCAUCAUCGAUUAGUAAAUAGAAGCUUAUUCAGUCAAUGACACGGGAUCAAGAAAUAAACUACGUAUGAUAAAGUUACACUUUCCCACAUCCCCUUAGAAUAUGAUACAUUCUAGGUAGAUUUGAUUUUAAAAUAAAACCACGAAAGAACUAGAAGACAAAACAAAACAGCACAAUGUUUACUGGCUCUAAGGUAAAAACGACAUCUUUAGAAGAAUACGUGAGAAAGCACACGAAAAAUAGAUUUGAGUAGACAUUGAAAUUAUAAUUUUGGGGGCCGGCCUGGUGGUGCAGUGGUUAAGUUUGCACAUUCUGCUUCGGCGGCUCGGGGUUCACUGGUUCGGAUCCCGGGUGUGGACAUGGCAC